Molecule: long non-coding RNA, 722 nt
Filed under: Polistes fuscatus (common paper wasp)
Lineage: Eukaryota; Metazoa; Arthropoda; Insecta; Hymenoptera; Vespidae
Description: uncharacterized LOC122523064
Source: RNAcentral
UAUUAAUAAGUUCGAUCGGCCUAAUAAUCGAUUUUACUACGUAAAAGUAACUAGGUCAUCGUUUUAACCUUCUUAAAACAUUUAACCAAAAUCGGUAAACGUGAAUUGUCAUUAAUUAAAUUGAUACGUAACCCCUGCCCGUACAAUUAAUUGCCAAUGAUGUUUUCCAUUUUGUCUCUCGAAUGAAAGAGAUCACGAUUUGUUUUAACAAAUAUUUACAAAUUUUAUUUAUCUAUAUUACACAGAUUAGAAAAUUGUCACUUCUAAAAUUGCACUAAAAUUAAUCUAUAAUUACACAGUUAUUGUAAUUAACAGACGCGUUACAUACAGUAUGAUAAUUUGUUACUAUAAAUAUUGUUGUUUGCUUCUGGAUAAUUAUUAAAGCGAUGUUCUUUAUCAGAGGCGUGUCUUACGAGGCGUUACAUCGAGAUUAACUUUCGUAAAACUUGAUGAGAAAGAGAAAGAGAGAGAGAGAGAGAAGAGGGAUGGAUGGAUGGAUGGAUGGAUGGAGUGAGAGAGAAAAAACGAUAGAGGUCGGUGAGAAUCGAUAAAUCGAACUUUAAGAGGUGUGACGUAUACCAGGUUGCUGUUGUAAGUUCAAACAAGUGUAAGAUCGGAAAGAAUAAUUAAAGAAGCACCUAGGUACUUAAGGUCGAGUCUGUUUGAAAGACGUUUGGAUCGAUGUUCCACUUUUCAACAGGCGCGUGCAGUCUGGCGAAAAA